CUGUUGGGAGAAAAUAAUAAUAAAAACUCCAACUCCAGGCAGAACCGGUGAGAUUAAUGAAGCCCAGCAUGGAGUGCUGAGUAAAAGAGUGUAAUUCAUUCAAUCCAAGAGAUCAGCAUCUUCAGGAAUCAGCAGUGAGUCCAUGAGCUGUGUGUCCAUACGCUAAUAUUCAAAAAUGGAGAGCCGUGAUCUGGACACAGAUAAUGUGACCCCACCCUCAGAAAAGUGUAAACUCCAGAUAAAGAAAUCAGACUCACCAGAACCCAGCUGUGUCUCCAUGAAGAGUGAUCGGUCUAUGGAGUUU
Molecule: long non-coding RNA, 304 nt
Organism: Neoarius graeffei (lesser salmon catfish)
Lineage: Eukaryota; Metazoa; Chordata; Actinopteri; Siluriformes; Ariidae
Exons: 3
Source: RefSeq, a predicted model, not a curated record